Molecule: small nucleolar RNA, 107 nt
Organism: Dioscorea cayenensis subsp. rotundata (Guinea yam)
Lineage: Eukaryota; Viridiplantae; Streptophyta; Magnoliopsida; Dioscoreales; Dioscoreaceae
Product: small nucleolar RNA Z103
Exons: 1
Source: RefSeq, a predicted model, not a curated record
AGGAAUUGGAUGACCCUUUCCCUAAAUGAUGAAGUGUGAUUAUAAUGUCCUGUAGAUAUAUGUUUCUCCUCUUCAGAAGAGAAAUCAAACCAGAAGUUCUGAUCCUU